Manis javanica (Malayan pangolin) is the source of this 3356-nucleotide non-coding RNA. The record is from RefSeq and is a predicted model, not a curated record. Lineage: Eukaryota; Metazoa; Chordata; Mammalia; Pholidota; Manidae.
UUAUAAACCCAUGUAGUACUUGACUUUCUUUUCCAGAGCUGUAGUGCGAGUGCCCUACAGGCAAGAUUGAAAGUAGCUGCACAUGAAGCUGAGGAAGAAUCUGAUAACAUUGCUGAAGAUUUCUUGGAGGGAAAAACUGAAAUUGAUGAUUUUCUCAGUAGCUUCAUGGAAAAGAGAACAAUUUGUCACUGUCGAAGAGCCAAGGAAGAGAAACUCCAACAAGCAAUAACACUGCACAGCCAAUUUCAUGCUCCAUUAUAGAUUUUCCUGAAAACAUGUACUGCCAAGAGAGGAAUGGGACACAAAACUAAGCACCUUUUAUAUUAAUGAUUUGAAAAUUGGCAUUUCAUCACAGUGACUGAAUUCAUAGAUGUACUAUACAGAUUGUAUACAGAACUGAGACUGAUUUUAUACAGAUUAGAAUGAUUGCUAUGAUCUUUGCUUUGAGAAAUUUUUCUGCACUGUUUGCACUAAAAGUGUUUAUUUAUUGUUGAUCAAUUCUAUCAUAUUUAAGUUCCACUGCUGUUCUCUCUUACUAUUGAUUAAAUACCUAUGCAUCUAAUUUUAGCUGGUUUCAAUAUUUUAUACUACUUCAUUUAACUUUGUAUUUUUAAUUUAAAAUGAUUUCAUUUCUUCAUCAAGAAUGGUUCAGAUUUUAUCCUCUCAACCUUUUCUGAAAAUUACCAUUUUCACUGUUAAUGACUUAUUUUUCCUUUCUUUUUGGAUGGUAAGACUUUGAAAAAACAAUUUGUUUUGAACUGUUAGUGUCAGGAAACACCAAACCUGACAAUGUGCCAUCUCAAGAAAGUAACUUUUAAUACUUAAAAUAAAUCAAAAGAAUAAACCAGCUGCUCUUCUAUAUUGCUUAGUUUUUUAAGUUAAAGACACAUUAUAAAAGAAGCAAUACAGGUAAAUUAAUAUUUUGCUUAAUAGAAAAUAUUUGCCUUAAAUUAGUCCAACAUAAAUAUUCAUACUAGUUUAUUAUAUAAGUAGCUGAUGGGUUUGUGGUUGGAUAAGGUAUAUGCUAAAUUCCUAAUGUUAAAGUCAAAAACUAUCCUUUUGUUAAUAAAUAGUAAAUCUAGACACAAAAGCAUCAAUGAAUUUUUCUAACCUUUACUCUUAGUGUUCAUAAGAGGAGAGCUUUGGUAAUAAAUUUAAUAUUUAUUUUUUAGGCAGUCUAGUUUUUAAUUGAAUUUUCUCUUUAAUGUGUAUAUGUCAAUUUGCUUCUAUACAUAUUACCUAAUGAACACAUUUUAUGGAUAGCCAUAAAAGCUAUUAAAGGAGAAAAUCUUUAACUAUAUAAUAGUUAAGGAUUAGUAAGGUAGUAUCUAAAUCACAAAACAACCUAAUGCAUAUGUUUGUUUAAAUUUCAUCUCAAUAUGAUUGUCAUUCCAAACACCAGCAUAUGUAGUUUUGUCCUUUCCUCAUUCUGCUGUUCUUCCUAUACAUUUUUUUGACUGAGUUUUAGGAAAAACAGAAUUAUUUUCUUAAGACUUGAAAAAUAAUAGUCUGUAUGUGGAAGGGCAGGUAUUCACAUGGACUUCAAAUACAUAGAUAGAUAAAGAGGUUGACUUUUAUUAACCACCUGUCUUCCUGACACUGUGCUAAGGGCAUGCUGUUACGCUUCAAAAUCACCAGACGAGGAAGAUAAACUAUUCUGGCUUUCCAGUUCAGAUAACUGAGAUAUACACUGGCAAAUGGAAGAAAUUAAAGUCACAGCCUCAGUAUUAGCAAAGAAGAUUCUAAGAGUGAUAACUACAAGAAUGACAUAAAGUACUAUUCAAAUGCUGCACAUGUUUCCUCUCAUUUAAUCCUCAUUGAAUUCCUAUGAGAUCUGUACAGAUGAGGAAACGGAGGCUUGGAGAAAUUAGUUUUCCAAAUCACAGCUAGUGAGUGGAACAGCCUGGAUUCAAGCCCACUAAAUUGGCUGGUCUGUUGCAACAAAACACAAAACUGUCUGGGAAAACAGGAAGUUUCCAAACUGGCAGGAAUAAAUGUGAUGUUGAAUGUGAAUCAAAAACCUCUCGUUGAACUCAAAGGCACAGGGGAAUUGUUCCAUCAGCUGCCAGAUGCACUCAAUGAACUGGUCAAUAACUGGAGAGAUUUCUUUUGGAUCACCAUCUAGAUUGCCAUACCUAGGAAGCAAAAGAAUGUCAGCUCUGUGAGGGAAGAGACUUGAUCUGGCUUAUUCGACAUGCAUCCUCAGCACCUUGAGGAGUGCCUGCCAGCAUGGAAAUGAGAGCAAGUUUAAAAAUAAAGACACCAGACUUCCCAGCUGACCUGGAGAUGCCUCUGCCAAAAGCCAGAGAGGAACAGAUGCCUCCCUGAACAAGGCCCUAAAAUGUACUGCAAGCCAGAAUGUUCCAACACUUCUAUCUUCAUUUAGCUCACCCAGCAAGGGGCAAGGGGCCGCAUCUCCUGCCAGGUCAGCUCCUUUCUGCCAUACUGAGAAUGGCUCCUUGGUUAACAUUUCCACUUUCAGGAACAUUAAAGCUGCGUGUGUAAUGGAAGAUGACCUCGCCAGAUUUUCCAGCAAGUUGCCGAGUGGCGAUCAGUGAGGAUGCAGACGCUCCAUUUGAUCCUGUGGUAUUGGCCUUUCUUGUCUCUUAAGAUCUGAAGUUGAAAUGCACCUUGGCCUUCCCUUAAUUAACAGCCUGACACACGCCUGAGUUCUGCUGAUGUCUGAUUUGCCCCUUUUGAAUUUUGGACUCAGAAAACCAAGACCAAUAAAAUGGGCCUCAAAGAACUGGCAAAAUGAUCAUUUCCCUUCACCAGAGGACUUCAUCAUGGUCUAUAAACAGAAAUGUGUGAGUAGCCUGUUUUGGGGUUGCUCUUUUACUUAGAGCCCACACGGUGACACAGAAUACAAUUCUGAGCUCUGCACUGAAUUGUAUCCAGCGUAUUGAUGUUAGUGGCGUUCUCCUCCCGACCCAUGCCAAACGGCGUGAGCCCUCUUCAUAGGGAACUUCCCAGUAACUGGAGAGAUCUGUAUGUUUGCUCCUCCAUAAGACACCAACAGGAUUUUGUAGAUGAUUCUUUAAAACAAUUCCAGCUUUGUUCAUGAUGCCAUUCUCUAGAAUCUCUGUACAAUUAAUUAUACCAUGAAGGCCACUUUUGUAUAGUUGUUUCCUUGUAAAGAAUUUGAUGCUAAUGUGAAACGGUAAGAUACAAGCAAUAAAUUCUAUACGCCUAUAUUAGCACUGCUUGAGUUAGUAGCAUAGAAAGUAGUACAAACACACAUGUGCAUGAGCAUGAGUUUAUCCAGCUACUAAUCAACAUGUGUGUGAAUACUAUUUACCAAUGGCCUAAAGAAAAUCAAACAGCAGGUUCACAAAAAAAUGCCCUCUGGUAUCUAU